RNAcentral lists this ribosomal RNA (1372 nucleotides) under uncultured bacterium. RNAcentral's name for it is "bacterial SSU rRNA". It matches the Rfam family "Bacterial small subunit ribosomal RNA", at positions 28 to 1381 of the family's 1533-position model. The record is from RNAcentral.
GAUGAACGCUGGCGGCGUGCCUAAUACAUGCAAGUCGAGCGAACGGACGAGAAGCUUGCUUCUCCGAUGUUAGCGGCGGACGGGUGAGUAACACGUGGAUAACCUACCUAUAAGACUGGGAUAACUUCGGGAAACCGGAGCUAAUACCGGAUAAUAUUUUGAACCGCAUGGUUCAAAAGUGAAAGACGGUCUUGCUGUCACUUAUAGAUGGAUCCGCGCUGCAUUAGCUAGUUGGUAAGGUGACGGCUUACCAAGGCAACGAUGCAUAGCCGACCUGAGAGGGUGAUCGGCCACACUGGAACUGAGACACGGUCCAGACUCCUACGGGAGGCAGCAGUAGGGAAUCUUCCGCAAUGGGCGAAAGCCUGACGGAGCAACGCCGCGUGAGUGAUGAAGGUCUUCGGAUCGUAAAACUCUGUUAUUAGGGAAGAACAUAUGUGUAAGUAACUGUGCACAUCUUGACGGUACCUAAUCAGAAAGCCACGGCUAACUACGUGCCAGCAGCCGCGGUAAUACGUAGGUGGCAAGCGUUAUCCGGAAUUAUUGGGCGUAAAGCGCGCGUAGGCGGUUUUUUAAGUCUGAUGUGAAAGCCCACGGCUCAACCGUGGAGGGUCAUUGGAAACUGGAAAACUUGAGUGCAGAAGAGGAAAGUGGAAUUCCAUGUGUAGCGGUGAAAUGCGCAGAGAUAUGGAGGAACACCAGUGGCGAAGGCGACUUUCUGGUCUGUAACUGACGCUGAUGUGCGAAAGCGUGGGGAUCAAACAGGAUUAGAUACCCUGGUAGUCCACGCCGUAAACGAUGAGUGCUAAGUGUUAGGGGGUUUCCGCCCCUUAGUGCUGCAGCUAACGCAUUAAGCACUCCGCCUGGGGAGUACGACCGCAAGGUUGAAACUCAAAGGAAUUGACGGGGACCCGCACAAGCGGUGGAGCAUGUGGUUUAAUUCGAAGCAACGCGAAGAACCUUACCAAAUCUUGACAUCCUUUGACAACUCUAGAGAUAGAGCUUUCCCCUUCGGGGGACAAAGUGACAGGUGGUGCAUGGUUGUCGUCAGCUCGUGUCGUGAGAUGUUGGGUUAAGUCCCGCAACGAGCGCAACCCUUAAGCUUAGUUGCCAUCAUUAAGUUGGGCACUCUAAGUUGACUGCCGGUGACAAACCGGAGGAAGGUGGGGAUGACGUCAAAUCAUCAUGCCCCUUAUGAUUUGGGCUACACACGUGCUACAAUGGACAAUACAAAGGGCAGCGAAACCGCGAGGUCAAGCAAAUCCCAUAAAGUUGUUCUCAGUUCGGAUUGUAGUCUGCAACUCGACUACAUGAAGCUGGAAUCGCUAGUAAUCGUAGAUCAGCAUGCUACGGUGAAUACGUUCCCGGGUCU